UGAUCCAACAACGGUGUCGAUCACUUUUCUUCAUAUAUUUGUUUGUGUUUACAAUUUUACUAUUUUUCGAUAUAUGUGGAUUAAGAAGUAGGAUGAGAGAAUGUGUAGAACUUUUGGAGAAGAAGAACAAUACAUGUUGUGUUGUACUAUUCCGUUUGAUAAACAUAGAACAACCGGAGCUUCUAGCUCUAGUGGUAAAGGGCUUACAGCUGUGAGUACCACCACCUGGGUUCGAAUCCCGGCCACUGGGGAAUUAACAUUUCGGCAUCGCCAGGGACAGAGGACCGACACGUGGCAACACGUGACUAGUCUGGAUCACUUCUGUGGGGCCAGGAUACCUCUGUAUAAUUCAAAAAAAAAAAAAAAAAAAAAAAAAAAAGAUAAACAUAGAAUAGUACAACGCAACAUGUACUGUUACAUCAUCUCCGCGUCUUGUCUUUUGUCCCGGUGAGGCAUCACUGUCACUCUUUCUUAACCUAGAAACGCUUAACAUUGUGAUGUUUCUAUGUAUUGAGUUUUCUAUGCUUGAGUUAGGUUUAGUAUAGAGGAAGAUCGGCAGUGAGAUUGAUAUCAGUGUUAAUGGAUUUAGAUCUUAAGGUGAAUCAUGUGAUGAUUUAAUAAACGAUAAUUAAGAUAGAAUUCAUAUUUGGAGAAGAUGAACAAUGUUAAUAUAUUGUAGAGUUGGAGAAGAUGAACAAUUAAUAUAUUGAACUAUUCUAUUUAAUGAUCACAAUAUAGUAAAUAUCUUCUUUUCCUCCACCUCCUAUAGUGAGU
RNAcentral lists this long non-coding RNA (774 nucleotides) under Brassica rapa (field mustard). Its description in RNAcentral is "long non-coding RNA (BRAP_LNC005615)". Lineage: Eukaryota; Viridiplantae; Streptophyta; Magnoliopsida; Brassicales; Brassicaceae. The record is from RNAcentral.